This is a non-coding RNA of Hebeloma cylindrosporum, 66 nucleotides long. Lineage: Eukaryota; Fungi; Basidiomycota; Agaricomycetes; Agaricales; Hymenogastraceae. The record is from Rfam.
GCAUUAAUGGGGUAGUGGCAACCUGGGUCGUUGCCACCGGCGGGGGUUCGAUUCCCUCUUAAUGCA